AUGCAAGUCGAACGAUGAAGCCCUUCGGGGUGGUUUAGUGGCGAACGGGUGAGUAACACGUGGGCAAUCUGCCCUGCACUCUGGGACAAGCCCUGGAAACGGGGUCUAAUACCGGAUAUCACUCUUGCAGGCAUCUGUGAGGGUCGAAAGCUCCGGCGGUGCAGGAUGAGCCCGCGGCCUAUCAGCUUGUUGGUGAGGUAAUGGCUCACCAAGGCGACGACGGGUAGCCGGCCUGAGAGGGCGACCGGCCACACUGGGACUGAGACACGGCCCAGACUCCUACGGGAGGCAGUAGUGGGGAAUAUUGCACAAUGGGCGAAAGCCUGAUGCAGCGACGCCGCGUGAGGGAUGACGGCCUUCGGGUUGAAAACCUCUUUCAGCAGGAAAGAAGCGAAAGUGACGGUACCUGCAGAAGAAGCGCCGGCUAACUACGUGCCAGCAGCCGCGGUAAUACGUAGGGCGCAAGCGUUGUCCGGAAUUAUUGGGCGUAAAGAGCUCGUAGGCGGCUUGUCACGUCGGGUGUGAAAGCCCGGGGCUUAACCCCGGGUCUGCAUUCGAUACGGGCCAGCUAGAGUGUGGUAGGGGAGAUCGGAAUUCCUGGUGUAGCGGUGA
Molecule: ribosomal RNA, 612 nt
Filed under: Streptomyces antibioticus
Lineage: Bacteria; Bacillati; Actinomycetota; Actinomycetes; Kitasatosporales; Streptomycetaceae
Description: bacterial SSU rRNA
Rfam family: Bacterial small subunit ribosomal RNA
Source: RNAcentral